This 465-nucleotide ribosomal RNA is filed under the name uncultured bacterium. RNAcentral describes it as "partial 16S ribosomal RNA". It matches the Rfam family "Bacterial small subunit ribosomal RNA", at positions 28 to 507 of the family's 1533-position model. The record is from RNAcentral.
GACGAACGCUGGCGGCGUGCUUAACACAUGCUAGUCGAACGGAAAGGCCCUGCUUGCAGGGUACUCGAGUGGCGAACGGGUGAGUAACACGUGGGUGAUCUGCCCUGCACUUCGGGAUAAGCCUGGGAAACUGGGUCUAAUACCGGAUAGGAGCCACUUUUAGUGUGAUGGUUGGAAAGUUUUUUCGGUGUAGGAUGAGCUCGCGGCCUAUCAGCUUGUUGGUGGGGUAAUGGCCUACCAAGGCGGCGACGGGUAGCCGGACUGAGAGGGUGGACGGCCACAUUGGGACUGAGAUUCGGCCCGGACUCCCACGUGAGGCAGCAGUGGGGAAUAUUGCGCAAUGGGCGAAAGCCUGAUGCAGCGACGCCGCGUGGGGGAUGACGGCCUUCGGGUUGUAAACUCCUUCCGCUAGGUACGAAGCUUUUUGUGACGGUACCUAGAUAAGAAGCACCGGCUAACUACGUG